CCACGGUAGCAUUUGUUUGAUUAGUUUGGUCCAUUUAAUGUUCACAACGCCUCGAGCAAUAAAGAUAAAUGACGUCCACGGCGUUGCGAGCGUUAAGUGGACCAAAUUACGAACCAAACGCUACCAUGGUCACGAAACGAAAAAACGCCUAUAGACUUGGUUUACAUCGUGUACUUGAUACUAAAUAAAAUGGAAAAUAUCGAGGAUCAAUCCAGUAGCGUUACUUUGAUAAGAGCAAGAUGAAAAAUCAUAUAUUGGAAAUGAAAAAUGCAACAGCCGUGACAAAUCACGGAGUAAUAAAUAUAUAAAUAUAUAAACACUAAGAAAUAUCAAAAGAAGAAUAGGAGAUUGUUCUCUGACUAUAAAUGUUCUGCAAGCACAUGGUUUGCUGCGAAGCUGAAACAAGAAAAUGAAUUAAAGGAAAGAAUCGGUCCAACAAUAUUCGCAGUCACAGACAAUAUGUAG
This is a long non-coding RNA of Odontomachus brunneus, 465 nucleotides long. RefSeq lists it as uncharacterized. The record is from RefSeq and is a predicted model, not a curated record. The transcript has 3 exons. NCBI's taxonomy places the organism in Eukaryota, Metazoa, Arthropoda, Insecta, Hymenoptera, Formicidae.